ACGGCCCGCAAGGGGAAGGCGCCGCGCGAUGAGGAGGCCGCGUUUGUGUAACGAGACAAAACACCGCCCUGAUUUCUGCCUUCUCCGCUUGAGUGCUGUGUGUGCAGCUCCCAGCCGCAGGGCCGAGCCUGAGCACAUGAACCUGAGUGCGCGCUACAGGAAAACAGAGUGCCUUCAGCUCCAGGCGGGCCUGCUCCUAAGCAGGUUCUGAGCCUUUUAUUCUCGUUGCAGACGCAGAGCUUUGACUGCUGUCUGCUCCUCGUAUGCUGGUGUUCAAGACCUUGGAAAUCUUUCUUUAAACGGUAUUAAAAUAACAGUUUUGGCUGUGAGGGGCUCCUGUUCUGGGCAGCGCUGUUGUCUCGGGAGCUUUGCUGAUGAAGCACAACAACUCCAGGCCCUUUGAGGUGUAAGAUUUCUCAGUAAUGUUACGUGCACGUUUUUCUGUACAGCAUAAGCAAGACUUGAGUUACCAGGUGUUGUAAUUCAGACGUGCUUUUAUUGUGUUACAAAAAAAAAAAAAAAAAAAAGAAAAAAAAAAAGAAACCACAGCUAUAAAAAUAACACAUUUUCCAAAGAUAACGUUCCAAAAAGUACUACUGGUAACAUGGUUGGACUGUGUCAGUUAAUACUGUUGAAAACAUGUUUCAAAACCUUUAGAGCACCUCUGGAUGUAUCUGCUCACCAGAAGGAGGUGGAGCUGGGAAUGCGUUUGCUGGCAGCGUGGCUUUCUGCUGAGCUGCUUGUCAGCCUGAACCAACAGAUAAAUCAGGCCUGGAAAAAAUGGCCAUAAGCAGCAAACCAAGGUGGAAGGACCUCACGUGAGGCCACCUCCUCUCCAAGAUGGGAUCAAACUCAUCCCCACCUCACUGUUAUCCGCAUCCAAUCCUCACCUGUGGUGCAGGGAGGAAUCGCACAGAGCUCUGACUCCGUGGGAGCCUUCACACGUUUCCCCCUCUGCAUUCGUGUGACAUAAUUCACAGGAGGGAAAAAACAUCUGGAUUUUGAAUAGCACAAUGAGUAUACUGUAUGUACAUCGCAUUGCUGAUAAACACAAACAUUUAAGUACGUGAACACAUCUGGAACUGACGAAGAGAUCAGCUUCUGCUCUACAAGGAACUGAAAGGGACACAUCUUCUGGCAGUCUAUCGGGAAAGCAGAGUUGCUUUGUGUCAGUCAAUGGCAGAUACUCCUACAGGAAUGGAGCAGAGAAGGGCUAAAUCGUUUUUUGGUUUUCACCACCACUGAGAACACAGAACAGAGGUAAGAAGGUAGGUCUCACUAACAGAAAAUGUGCUAUCUGUAUGCUGCAUCUGUUUGAUGCCAGGCUCGUCCAGCACAAUACGAAACAGAAGGAUGAACCAGCAGGUGACUCCUCUGCCGCGUGCAGUCAGCAUCUGCGCUGCAUUCCAGGAGCUCUCACCGCCCCGUCCUUCCAUCGACCCUCUGAUAAACCGCUGGGAUUUCCUCUCUGGGAAGUUCCUGGCAGACGGAUGGGGGCCGUAUUUCCUCACGCAGCCGACAGUCCAGCAAAAUGAUGCUUCUCCAGCUGCUCAAGGCUGAAAUAUUCUCCCAUGUUUCACGCAGGGUUUGGUUUCCCCAGCCCGUCCCUUGGACUCCCUUUGUGUCCGGUUUCCUACCGUCGUGCCCUGGAGAACCUCAGUUGAUCUCUCCCUCCGUGAACUCUUCUUUGAUGGACUGUUUGCGGGACUUGCAGUCUGGGAGGUCAAAGCCAAAGUCUGCCCACUCGUCCGCCGCGCCGCGGUUGGGGAUGGUGAUGGUGUGGCGCACGCGGAAGUGCACGGCCUCCAUCACGCGCUGCCGCUGCAGCUCCCCCGAGCUGCCAAUGGAGAUGGUGGAGGCGUUGCUGCUGGAGCGGAUGAGCUGCUGGGCCCCGUAGUCGUGGCUCUGCUUGAGUUCUUGAAGGCCCCUCCAGAUGAUCAUCCGGUACUGCUCUGGGAUCUUCAGUGCUCCGAGAUCCUGGAAGAACAGCGCUGCUGAGGGGCACCCCGUGAGGGGAACACCGGGACGGAGCCUGGCCCCCAGCUCAUGGCUCAGAGGGACGCGGGCGCAGGAGCGAGUGGCACGUCCUGGCCUCGGUCCACACAACACACAACAACCCACGGGUGCUUCCACGAGGGGCAGCUGCUCAGUUACAGACCGGCUACUCGUGGUCGCACUUGACCAGUCAUUCAAACACCAUUUUGAAAGUCAGCCAAAAACGCAUCUUGUUAUGUGGGGACUGGGGGACAGGGACGUAAGCUCACUGUAUCACAUCAAACUGCUGAGAAUGGGAGAGCUCCCGCUGGACGAGGGUUGAGGAGCAGCUGUGCUCACAGGGCGAGGAGCUCAGCCCGGCUGCUUUGCACAGGGCAGGAGCAGCGGGGGGCUCCAGGCAGCCCCCAGGGGUGGGCUGGGGUAAUGGGCCGCAUUCCCUGAGCCCCGCUGGCUGGGGCUUUCGGGGCCCUCCCUGUUGGGGGUGGGCCGUGUGGGCAGUAGCAGCUUUGUGGUUGUAGUGCUAACUGAGAGCUGGAUCAUCUCAGCAAUGGGGGCUGCGCCAGAACAAAUACCCUCGUGGUGGAGAGCUGCCAGACAGCCAUGUUAAUGCCAAACACAGAGACCGUAUGAAUGUUAACCAGAGAAGAUAGCGAGUGUGCAAUUAGUAAUUACAAAUACCAACUCGGACAGACAGCUCAGCAACCUGAUACAAAGUUCUGGCCAUACCAAACAUUUCUUUUGACAGCUUGCAGGUAAUAAUGCAGUUAGUUCAGAAAAUGGUCCAAAAUCAGGCUAAGGUUGUGCAACUGGCCCCAGCUACCAAUGAAAAAUCAUUGUGUCUUCAGCAGCUGCAUUGCCUAUCUUACUGUAGCUGCCAGGUAGGAGAUUACUACAAACUACCUGGGGGGAAAACAACAGAAUCAGGGCAGCAGCUUUUUUUCUGUCCAGAAUACUGACUCUAGAACUUACAAGGCUAACUAUGGCUCCAAGGGCUUAAGCUUUUUCUACUCCCUAUCCUGAUGGAUGAGGGGAGUCCCUGCUUGGUGCUGCCCUCAGUUUUGCAGCCUCAGUUUUGUCAGCAAGAGGUUAUGCUUUAACUGAGAACUGCAGUUGGCAGCUCCUCUUCCCCUGGCAGCAGAGAGCUGACACAGAGCAUGAGGGCAGGAAUUCUGAACCUACUGUACGCCUGUUUUCAUUCCAGCUCUUCCCUAACUGGUGCUGUUUCAUUUGCUGAGCACCUUGUCUGGUUUCCUUUUUGUGUUAAACACCUACUUGAGUUCUGGUUUGGGGACAUCCGAAAAGAGCUCAACAAUGUGCCAAGUUAUUAAUUUGUUUCUCUCUGUUAGUUCAUCAGAUCUCAUUAGAUCUCAUUUCUGACAGUCUGGAGGAACCAAUGAAGAGGCUAUUGUGGUUGCUACCAGAAACUGAACCACUGUUAAAUGUGAAGGGCUAGAAACGAUGCAUAAAUGGAAGACAUAAAUCAUGGGGAGUAUAUAUUCUGUAACAGACUUUCAGAGGUUUCUGCUGAAUUACCUACACUGUUAACUGGAGGGAGCCUGAGCUACCUGAGGAGGAAAAGGGCCCAUGCCUUAGUUUGGACAGCAAAGUCAGUCCCUGCAACUUACAGACUAAUUGCAAGGCUAUUCUGUGAAUAGCUCUGGGCUGCUGCUAUGCAGCUCUGGUAACUGAAUGUACAGGUGCUCUGACCUUGGUGGGAUGUCUGUUGAAACGUCUAUGUUCUACUUAAAGACAAGCAGUACAAAGCAUCUGUGGACACGCUGGCAUAUUCCUCGUGGAAAUGAACCAUGUGGACCAACUUCCAGACAUCAUUACUAAGGAAGGGAAGGGUGGAAGUUCACAAAGCUGUGUGCAGUUUGGCAUGCAGGAGAAGAUUCUUGUUUGGGAGGACUUAAUUUUGUAAUUAAGCAAGGACAGAUUACCAGGAGGUCUAUGAGAGCAAGAGGUGUUUCUAACUGGUAGGUAGCUGGGCUUUGAUUUUUAAGAUGAGAAUGGUCUACAUGAUGUCAUGAGCAGUGAUUUCUCAGCUGGGACCAGUGGCCAGUUGACCAGUUGCUAGACAGAUCUGAAGGUUAGAGUAAGGGACAACAGCAAGAAACAUCAGAGGACAACACAAAAAGGGCAUCUGUUGCCCUCCCUACCUGACUAGGCUGGGAUCGGGGUUGUAGGGCGGAGGAGGGGUGCAGUGUGAUCCUGAGACCAUGGACUGGGACGAGUGGCCCCCGUUCAUUUCCCCAUUGGGUUGCAUGGGGUGGCUGUUCAGCAUUCCAGGUCCUAGGCAGCAGCCAUGCCAACACGACAGGUAGAUCAGUCAGACAGAACCAAGACACAACAACCCCUGUCCCUCACUGGGGGCCCUGCUGGGCAAGGAGGGCCCCCACCAGCUGGGACUACGGUUCUGCACUCUGCUGCAGUGGGAGCCUUACCCAUUGGCCCCAGGCUUGAUGCUGAGCCAGAGCUGUGCUGUGCUGGCUGCCCAACCAGCUGGUUGACAGAGGGCAGCUUGUUGAUUCCUCCUCCGUGGACUUUAUUCAUAGGUGAGAGGACAGGGCCGUAGGAGGAAGGUGUCUGCAGCUGAUUUCUGCUCAGGAAAGAGAAGGCAAGCGAUGAGCAUCCAGCAGGAAGAUGUGGAGCCAGCUGGCAACCCCAGACCUCCUGUCUGCCUGCUCAGUAUCUGUGUGCUGAGGUUUCAGGUAGCACUGAGGAAGGCCGGAUUGCACUGAGAGCAGCCGAAGACAAAUUGCACUGGUGCAGAAUUGUCUGGGCUGCAUUUAUGUCAGGCGACAGCUACAUGUGUCUGUGAAAAGUCGCUGCAGAUGGAGAACUCACUGCAGUGCGGGCCCCCUAGGAAGGUUCAUAUCCAGUGCUGUAGUUUAUGCUUGCUGUAAAAAAUAGCAGUUGCAGCAGUGCUGAUCAGUUUGCUGAGCUGCAGUGGGCACUCAGGGACACUGGGAUGGCACUUACUGCCUCUGCAGGAGCUGCUGCUGUUGCUGCCGGUAGGAGUCAACCAGCUGCUGUGGGACCAGCUCCACCAGCUCCAGGCUCUCCUUUAUCUUCAUCAGGAUCUCGAAGUUCUCCCUGCCUCGAACCUGGAGGAUGGAACAAGCCCAGCUCUCACCAUGGCCCUUUUUUUCUACCCGCAGCCACACAAACCCAUCCUGAGAGCACAUCCCCAAGAGUUUCCCUUGCCACUGCUGAGCAGCGUGGCUCACUGACACUUACAGGCACAUAAUACAUCUCCUCCUCCCCGUGUCUCCGUUUCUUAACGCCUGGCCCCAGUGCUGGGAUGGCCUGAGGGCUCUGUUUGAAUGCUGGAAAGGAGAGAAGGGGAAAAAUGUUAGCAGAAGAUGAAAGUCAAAUCAGGCAGCGGGAGCAGCUGUGUCCUCUGGGCACGCAGGAGCAGCGUGCUUUGCAAGACUUAACUGAAAAGAGGGAAAUAGCUACCUCUAGGAGAAUUAGCUUGACAAAUCCCAAAUGUGUGCUGUCACUUAGGAAUUAUGGCUCUAGGAAUUCUGUGUGUGUGUUUUUUAAGAAAAUUUCAUUUUUUCUCUCAUUUCCCUUCUGCUGUGCCCUGCUGUCCUUGGGAGAACAGGACACAUCUGGUAACACCUUGGCUUCCUGAAGUAUUUUAGCUCACAUCAUGCACAAUGCUUGCUGCUUAACUGUAUUAUGUCCUUGAUGAUGUUCCUUCAAAAACAAUAAUAAUGAGUACAUCUGGACAGAAAGGCCCUAUGCUAGUAUCACUGCACUCUGGGGCAAAAAGAGAGGAGAUCCUACUUCUGAGAUUCAGAGGAGAAAGGUCAAAGCAUCAUGCCCUGGUGUGGGUUUAAGCCUCAACUUCUGGAGCACAGUGAUUUUGGUUGCAAUGGGAAAGGUGCUGAGGCAGAAGGGUUUCGAGGAACAAUGCAGGCUAGGAGCUGAAGACUGUGACAAAGCAGUGCUCUGAGGCACCCUCCCUUUCCCGGAGAGCAGACUCACUGCGUUUGUUGGCGUUGCCAUUUUUAGCUGCGUUCUCAUUCAGGGCUUGUUGCUCUCGGUAAUGGUCUUCAUCAGCUUUCCGGUCCCUGCCAGGACAGGCACAGAUCCGUCCCUCAAAUGAUCGCCUUCCUAGGACUUGGCCGCUGGGAGGAGAGAGGAAUUGGUGAAUUUGUUUCUGCCAGGGAUGUUCACCUGGGCUCAGCCCAGCAUGUUAUGGCCUGGCUCAGAUCCCCGGGUGUGGGGAGCUCCUCUGCGAACAGCCUGAGCAGGAGCAGUCUCCUGUGGGAGGAGGAGCUGCUGGGGCUGAGGAAGGCUUCAGCUGUGUGGGAAGAAGCCAGCACUGCAGUGGGUCUGCUGUACCUCCCCUGCCCUCUUCCUAGCCAGCAGGAAGCAGCCUUUACACAAAGGCAAGAAUGGUGCUCCAGCAGCCACUUACUCUCUCGUCUCCAGCGUGAUGAUAAUGAGGAUGGGUCUCCUGUUCAUUCCUCCCACACAGCUGCUGUUGCACAUGAAGUUGUACAGGAUAGUGGUGAACUCGGUCCCCACCUGCCCAGGAGAGGGGAGCAGACAGUGAGCAAAGAGUGAGGGCAUUCCUUUGGGCAGGGCUAUGCCUUGAGUGCCUUUGCAGGUCAAGCAGAAGGAGCACUGAGAAGGGAAAGAGUGGUGACAUGUGGCCCUGCAGUGAUGGGGACAGUCCUAGGUGGGGGAAUGGGACGCUGCAAGGCUGUGGGAUCUCUGAGGGGGAGGCUCAGGCCUUCCGUUCCCCACCACCCAGGAAUGGGGUGCUCAGAGCAGGCACACAAGGGCUCAGAUGUGCCACCCGACUCCAGCCAGGACUCAAAUCUUCCUCCAACAAAGCAGAUGUCACCAGCGGGUUCACUCCUCCACACUGGGACAAGAGCUGGUUCUGCUCCCCACCACCCCCAAUGCAGCUGGGUACCUGUGGGGGCUCGUAGGGCACCAUCACACUCUGCCGUCCUGUCACAGGGUCGUCCACGUACUGGGAGAGGUUGUUGCCUUCCACCCUGAUGAGGUGGCUGGCUGGGGCUGACUGGCCUGUAAGUCAAGUGCUUGUGGUUAGGACUUGGAGCUUCAUCCUGCACAGGGCAGCAGCUCCUGUCCCACCAGCUCUUCCCAGCCACGUUUUGCAGCUGGGGCUGUGCCCUGUAGGGGUGACAACAGCACUCACCAUCGUUAAAGUCACGCCCCAGCUCAUGGUUGGGGCAGCGUUUCACCACUUCUGUCACGUGCUCGGCCUUCUUGUACACAGGCAUGGCCCGGAUGAUGGUGCCCGGUGGCGGUGGGCUGGUCACCUUGAUCUGGAUGGGACAUGUCUUGGCAAUCUGACAGUAGAGCUUCUUCAGCAGUGGGGAGUACUGGAAUAGAAGAGAGACCAGCGUUAGCACAGCUCGCGAGGAGCAAAUGGAAAACGUGGACAUGCAGCUCAGCAUGCAGCGAGGGCAGCAAGGAGCCCUGGGUGCCCGCUGCCCUGUGCCUGAGGGAUGCUGUGUGCACGUGGAGGGCUGAGCACUGUGGCUCUCACACCACGCUCAGGCAGGCGCCUGCUUUCCCGCAGCUCCUCUGAUCCACCCACCU
Lagopus leucura (white-tailed ptarmigan) is the source of this 7587-nucleotide long non-coding RNA. RefSeq lists it as uncharacterized. Lineage: Eukaryota; Metazoa; Chordata; Aves; Galliformes; Phasianidae. The record is from RefSeq and is a predicted model, not a curated record. The transcript has 3 exons.